CAAAAUGUAGCUUAGCUAAAGCCCUUCGCUUACACCGAACUGACAUCUGUUAGACCCAGAUCAUUUUGA
This 69-nucleotide transfer RNA is filed under the name Rhinophrynus dorsalis (Mexican burrowing toad). RNAcentral describes it as "tRNA-Val". It matches the Rfam family "tRNA". From Rfam's summary of the family: Transfer RNA (tRNA) molecules are approximately 80 nucleotides in length. Their secondary structure includes four short double-helical elements and three loops (D, anti-codon, and T loops). Further hydrogen bonds mediate the characteristic L-shaped molecular structure. tRNAs have two regions of fundamental functional importance: the anti-codon, which is responsible for specific mRNA codon recognition, and the 3' end, to which the tRNAs corresponding amino acid is attached (by aminoacyl-tRNA synthetases). tRNAs cope with the degeneracy of the genetic code in two manners: having more than one tRNA (with a specific anti-codon) for a particular amino acid; and 'wobble' base-pairing, i.e. permitting non-standard base-pairing at the 3rd anti-codon position. Lineage: Eukaryota; Metazoa; Chordata; Amphibia; Anura; Rhinophrynidae. The record is from RNAcentral.